This 468-nucleotide ribosomal RNA is filed under the name uncultured bacterium. Its description in RNAcentral is "partial 16S ribosomal RNA". It matches the Rfam family "Bacterial small subunit ribosomal RNA", at positions 28 to 507 of the family's 1533-position model. The record is from RNAcentral.
GACGAACGCUGGCGGCGUGCUUAACACAUGCAAGUCGAACGGAAAGGCCCUGCUUUUGUCGGGUUCUCGAGUGGCGCGCGUGUGAGUGACACGUGAGUAACCUGCCCUUGACUUUGGGAUAACUUCAGGAAACUGGGGCUAAUACCGGAUAGGAGCUCCUGAUACAUGGUGGGGGUUGGAAAGUUUCGGAGGUUGGGGAUGGACUCGAGGGUUAUCAGCUUGUUGGGGGGGUAGUGGCUUACCCAGGCUUUGAAGGGUAGCCGGCAUGAGAGGGUGACCGGCCACAUGGGGACUGAGAGACGGACCAGAGUGCAACGGGGGGCAGUAGGGGGAAAUAUUACACAAUGGGCCGAAGCCUGAUGAAGAGAUGUCGCGUGCGGAAAGACGGCUUUCGGGUUGUAAACCGCUUUAGACUGUGACGAAGCGUGAGUGACGGUAACGGGUAAAGAAGCACCGGCUAACUACGUG